Molecule: ribosomal RNA, 428 nt
Filed under: Bacteroidota bacterium
Lineage: Bacteria; Pseudomonadati; Bacteroidota
Description: Bacteroidetes bacterium partial 16S ribosomal RNA
Rfam family: Bacterial small subunit ribosomal RNA
Source: RNAcentral
UAGGGAAUCUUCCGCAAUGGACGCAAGUCUGACGGAGCAACGCCGCGUGAGUGAAGAAGGAUUUCGGUUCGUAAAACUCUGUUGUUAGAGAAGAACAGCGCAUAGAGUAACUGUUAUGCGUGUGAUGGUACUUAACCAGAAAGGGACGGCUAACUACGUGCCAGCAGCCGCGGUAAUACGUAGGUCCCGAGCGUUGUCCGGAUUUAUUGGGCGUAAAGCGAGCGCAGGCGGUUAGAUAAGUCUGAAGUUAAAGGCAGUGGCUCAACCAUUGUAGGCUUUGGAAACUGUUUAACUUGAGUGCAGAAGGGGAGAGUGGAAUUCCAUGUGUAGCGGUGAAAUGCGUAGAUAUAUGGAGGAACACCGGUGGCGAAAGCGGCUCUCUGGUCUGUAAAUGACGCUGAGGCUCGAAAGCGUGGGGAGCGAACAGG